CUUUUCGAGGUAGGAGUCGACUCCUGUGAGGUAUGGUGCUGGGUGCAGAUGCAGUGUGGCUCUGGAUAGCACCUUAUGGACAGUUGUGUCCCCAAGGAAGGAUGAGAAUAGCUACUGAAGUCCUAAAGAGCAAGCCUAACUCAAGCCAUUGGCACACAGGCAUUAGACAGAAAGCUGGAAGUUGAAAUGUUUUGGCAGGGGGUGAACACUCAUCUGUGGCUAUUCUAAGACCACUCUUAUUUCUUAGGUGGAGUCCAACUUGCCUGGACCAGCUUAAUGGUUCUGCUCCUGGUAACGUUUUUAUCCAUGGAUGACUUGCUUGGGUAAGGACAUGAAGACAGUUCCUGUCAUACCUUUUAAAGGUAUGGAGAGUCGGCUUGACUACACUGUGUGGAGCAAGUUUUAAAGAAGCAAAGGACUCAGAAUUCAUGAUUGAAGAAAUGCAGGCAGACCUGUUAUCCUAAACUAGGGUUUUUAAUGACCACAACAAGCAAGCAUGCAGCUUACUGCUUGAAAGGUGAGGAUUGGAAAUGUUGGGACUAUUAUAAUUGCAGAAUACAUGAUGAUCUCAAUCCAACUUGAACUCUCUCACUGAUUACUUGAUGACAAUAAAAUAUCUGAUAUUCUGCA
Molecule: long non-coding RNA, 630 nt
Filed under: Homo sapiens (human)
Lineage: Eukaryota; Metazoa; Chordata; Mammalia; Primates; Hominidae
Description: growth arrest specific 5
Rfam family: Small nucleolar RNA SNORD81 (bases 552-628)
Source: RNAcentral